GAAGGCGGGGACUGUAUUUAUUAGGGGGUGGUGGGAGCUGAGAGAAACAAACAAGCAUAAGAUUAAUUGAGAGACGCAGAAGGUAAAGAUCGAAGAAUGGAAGGGUCUUCACCAUCCAUUGAAGAAGAGAGAACAGCCACUUUCUAUGUGUACCAUCCUUGCUAUUUUCUUCAACAAGCACUCAGGGCUCUCUUGAAGUGUGUAGGUAUUGAUGAGUCUGAAAACACAAUGUGUUCACAGGCCAAUAAACAAGAGAAAAGCUCACUGCCACAAACUCCUUCUGCAGAUGAUCCUAUUACAAACUCUCCAACCCACAAAAGCUCCCCAGAUGCUGCAGAUCCACCUUCCACAACUAAUCAAACCAUUAUCAUUGCAAGUUUAAUGGCAACGCGUGGCAGUCGAGGGUCUAAAAUUAGCGAUGGGUCAGGCCCUCAGCAUAAUUAAUAGAUACCAUGGCUUUUCACUUGGUUGGAUUAUAAAGUGUGUGAUACUCGAAGGUCAGGACUUAAUUACCCAAGGGCCCAGGCCUUCAGAGAAUAAAUGAAAAAUUUAUGCUGAAUUUCCUCUUAGUGUUAGUCUAGUUGUCAUAGUUUUGCUUCCUCUAGCUGUUUAUUUUAACCUUUCUUUCCUAUUUUCCUUCUUCUUUGCCAUUUUCAGAUAGAGUUGUACGUGUGUGGGAAUUAAAUAUUUAUGCAGAUAUAUAUAGAAGGCCUGACCUGUAAAUCCAUAUCAAUAUUUAAUUGCUAGCUUGUGCUUUACAAUUCAGCUUCAUA
Glycine soja is the source of this 773-nucleotide RNA transcript. RefSeq lists it as uncharacterized. Lineage: Eukaryota; Viridiplantae; Streptophyta; Magnoliopsida; Fabales; Fabaceae. The transcript has 3 exons. The record is from RefSeq and is a predicted model, not a curated record.